Nicotiana tabacum (common tobacco) is the source of this 874-nucleotide long non-coding RNA. RefSeq lists it as uncharacterized. The record is from RefSeq and is a predicted model, not a curated record. Lineage: Eukaryota; Viridiplantae; Streptophyta; Magnoliopsida; Solanales; Solanaceae.
UGCUCUUCUCAUGAGGAGGCUAACAGUCCAGUACUGCCUCUAAUUUCUAAUCAAUUUUGCACAAAUUGGGCCAGCGUGCUUCAAAUUUCUACUGUCAAUUUAUCUUCCAUUGAUCUUCGUUGUUUUACUACUGACUCCCGAAAAAUUUACCAAAGUUUCUUAUAGUUAUUCUAGAAAUUCCGGUGGUCAGUCUCUGUAAUUUCUUCUCACUUUUUUCUUCUCUUUCUCUAUUCCAGACUUUCUAUGUUCAUUUUUCAAAUUAUGCUCUUUCUACCGUGAGGAAUCAAGAAAAAAUUUAACAAGAAAAAUCCUAAUACGAAGGUUGUAUCAGCUGUAAGCCUUCGUGAUUAUUUCAUAUGCGCUGCUUCCUUUUUAUUGGUACUGAUAACCUUGUGGUUCCCUUUUGGGUCAGAGUUCUCCCCUCCCUCCUUCUUUCAGGGCCAUAGGUCUGCAGCUUCCCAUGAGAAAGGACAGCCAACACAGAAGAACUGAUUUUCCGGUAGAAUCAAUUGAUGACCCGUAAAAAACUUUGUUUAUGACUUAAUAUUUUUGGAGGUGACAUCUCUGUAAAAGAAGAUACUAAAUUUUAUUGAUGAGUUUUUGCAUUAGACAUUUAUAUAUUUUAUUAGUCUUAAUUCUAUUAAAUUUCAUCAUAUCCAUUAUUAUUUGUUUGCUUUGUGUACACUCAGACUUUGCUCUUUCCUGUGAGGUAUUUCAGGAAGUUGAGAAAGAUGAACAACUAGAUUGAAACAUCAUAUGAAGACCCCAAUAGCAUAUAGUAAAUUUUCUAUUUAAAGGUUUCUUUUAACUUUCCUUUUUGUUGUAUUAUAAUAUCGUAUCCUCAUUAUCUGCUAUAAUCUUCAUUGUUGGAUGA